GGCGUGCGAUACAGGGUGACAGCCCCGUACACAAAAAUGCACAUAUUGUGAGCUCGAUGAGUAGGGCGGGACACGUGGUAUCCUGUCUGAAUAUGGGGGGACCAUCCUCCAAGGCUAAAUACUCCUGACUGACCGAUAGUGAACCAGUACCGUGAGGGAAAGGCGAAAAGAACCCCGGCGAGGGGAGUGAAAAAGAACCUGAAACCGUGUACGUACAAGCAGUGGGAGCCUCUUAAUGGGGUGACUGCGUACCUUUUGUAUAAUGGGUCAGCGACUUAUAUUCUGUAGCAAGGUUAACCGAAUAGGGGAGCCGAAGGGAAACCGAGUCUUAACUGGGCGUUAAGUUGCAGGGUAUAGACCCGAAACCCGGUGAUCUAGCCAUGGGCAGGUUGAAGGUUGGGUAACACUAACUGGAGGACCGAACCGACUAAUGUUGAAAAAUUAGCGGAUGACUUGUGGCUGGGGGUGAAAGGCCAAUCAAACCGGGAGAUAGCUGGUUCUCCCCGAAAGCUAUUUAGGUAGCGCCUCGUGAAUUCAUCUCCGGGGGUAGAGCACUGUUUCGGCAAGGGGGUCAUCCCGACUUACCAACCCGAUGCAAACUGCGAAUACCGGAGAAUGUUAUCACGGGAGACACACGGCGGGUGCUAACGUCCGUCGUGAAGAGGGAAACAACCCAGACCGCCAGCUAAGGUCCCAAAGUCAUGGUUAAGUGGGAAACGAUGUGGGAAGGCCCAGACAGCCAGGAUGUUGGCUUAGAAGCAGCCAUCAUUUAAAGAAAGCGUAAUAGCUCACUGGUCGAGUCGGCCUGCGCGGAAGAUGUAACGGGGCUAAACCAUGCACCGAAGCUGCGGCAGCGACACUAUGUGUUGUUGGGUAGGGGAGCGUUCUGUAAGCCUGUGAAGGUGGCCUGUGAGGGUUGCUGGAGGUAUCAGAAGUGCGAAUGCUGACAUAAGUAACGAUAAAGCGGGUGAAAAGCCCGCUCGCCGGAAGACCAAGGGUUCCUGUCCAACGUUAAUCGGGGCAGGGUGAGUCGACCCCUAAGGCGAGGCCGAAAGGCGUAGUCGAUGGGAAACAGGUUAAUAUUCCUGUACUUGGUGUUACUGCGAAGGGGGGACGGAGAAGGCUAUGUUGGCCGGGCGACGGUUGUCCCGGUUUAAGCGUGUAGGCUGGUUUUCCAGGCAAAUCCGGAAAACCAAGGCUGAGGCGUGAUGACGAGGCACUACGGUGCUGAAGCGACAAAUGCCCUGCUUCCAGGAAAAGCCUCUAAGCAUCAGGUAACAUCAAAUCGUACCCCAAACCGACACAGGUGGUCAGGUAGAGAAUACCAAGGCGCUUGAGAGAACUCGGGUGAAGGAACUAGGCAAAAUGGUGCCGUAACUUCGGGAGAAGGCACGCUGAUAUGUAGGUGAAGCGACUUGCUCGUGGAGCUGAAAUCAGUCGAAGAUACCAGCUGGCUGCAACUGUUUAUUAAAAACACAGCACUGUGCAAACACGAAAGUGGACGUAUACGGUGUGACGCCUGCCCGGUGCCGGAAG
RNAcentral lists this ribosomal RNA (1536 nucleotides) under Escherichia coli. RNAcentral describes it as "partial 23S ribosomal RNA". It matches the Rfam family "Bacterial large subunit ribosomal RNA", at positions 349 to 1875 of the family's 2925-position model. Lineage: Bacteria; Pseudomonadati; Pseudomonadota; Gammaproteobacteria; Enterobacterales; Enterobacteriaceae. The record is from RNAcentral.